UUCACGGUUGAUCCCGCCGGACCCCACUGCUAUCGAGAUGGGACUAAGGUAUGCUAGUCGAACGACCAGAACUAUGUCUGGAAGUGGCACACUGCUCAGUAACACGUAGCUAAACCUACCCUUCGGACGUGGAUACCCCCGAGAAAUUGGGGUUAAUCCGCGAUAGAUGUAAUGUCCUGGAAUGGUAUUACGUCCAAAAAGUAUUUCAUACAUGUUUGAAAUAUGCCGAAGGAUGGGGCUGCGGCCGAUCAGGCAGUUGGUGAGGUAAUGGCUCACCAAACCUUUGACCAGGUACGGGCCAUGAGAGUGGUAGCCCGGAGAUGGACACUGAGACAAGGGUCCAGGCCCUAAUGGGCGCAGACAAACCGCGAAACCUCCACAAUGCACUCAACGUGCGAUGGGGCUAUCUCGAGUGCCAACUGAUGAAGGUGGCUUCUCCUCGGUACUUCAAAGCCUUGGGAAUAAAGACGGGGGGCAAGACUGGUUGUCAGCCGCCGCAGGUAACAACAGGCCCUACGAGUGGUGGGGGAUAGAUUAUAUAGGCCUAAAGCCGUCCGUA
This 559-nucleotide ribosomal RNA is filed under the name uncultured archaeon. Its description in RNAcentral is "bacterial SSU rRNA". It matches the Rfam family "Archaeal small subunit ribosomal RNA", at positions 1 to 523 of the family's 1478-position model. The record is from RNAcentral.